GAAAAUUUGAAAAAGAAAAUAAAAAGUUUUCGUGUUGUUUGAGACGAGAUGAAUAAUACAUGGAGAGGAAUUGUAGUAUGUUGCCUCUUAAUACUCUUCGUCUUAUCAACUUUCUUCAUCAGAAUUGACUCCUCCAGGCUACCUCCUUGUAGGAUUCAUGCCACCCGUUUUCGUUAUCCGAAUGGUACUAAACCGUGCGAUUCGACCAUUGAGCGUGGAUAAUGAGGCAGUAUUGAAUAUUAUAUAUAUAUUUAUAAGUAUCACCUAAUAAAAUAAAUUUCA
Molecule: RNA transcript, 282 nt
Organism: Arabidopsis thaliana (thale cress)
Lineage: Eukaryota; Viridiplantae; Streptophyta; Magnoliopsida; Brassicales; Brassicaceae
Exons: 1
Source: RefSeq